AAUCAACACUCCACUCAGACAAUGCCCAGACCUCCAGAAACCAUGUGUCAAGCUCGGAUUGCCUUAGACAGCUCACCCAGCUGGAACUCUUAUGGGACCUUGGCACCAGAGACCACAAAUUCCUCUUUGAAGUUUUCUAACAGCAACAAUGGUAUUUCUGACUUGGCUUUCUUGUAUUUCUCUCACGUUAACAAAAUUGGUUCAGCAUCUACCAUGGGCUACAUGCUGAGCUACAGAGUUUCGCUCUGUCGCCCAGGCUGGAGUGCAGUGGCGCGCGAUCUCGGUUCACUGCAAGCUCCACCUCCCGGGUUCACGCCAUUCUCCUGCCUCAGCCUCCUGAGUAGCUGGGACUACAGGCGCCCGCCACCACACCCAGGAAUCCAACUUGCUGUUUGCUAUCACAUGUGCUAUACAUGCUGUUGAUGAAACUGCUAAAGGGGCUGAAUGUGACUGACGUCUUUGGAAGGAUGAGACUUAGCGUGCCUGUACAGUUGUGUCCAAAUGCUGUCCUCAUCUCCCAAUGAAAAGGUAUUGUAAAUAAAGAGAAAGAUCAGAGGCUUAUUUUAAACACUAAAUAUGAGCUAGGAGCUGUCCUAGACACUAUGUAAAAGUUUUAUUUAGUUCUCACUGUAAUGUUGGCCUUAUGUUAGCAUCCCAUUUUUCAGACUGAGGAAAUUAUGGCUCAGAGAGGUUAAGAGACUUAUUGAAGGUCACACAGCUCCACAAACUUUGGUGUAGAUUGAACGUGUACAUGGGUCUAUGUGACUUUGAAUCUUGCAUUCUUUACAUUAUUGGAAUAUUUCACAGAAGGAAAAUGACAUAUUAACAUGGCAAUAAGAUUUCUGGUUCCAGUCUGGUUACUGGUCUUCCAAGAGUGUUAUAGGAUGUAUAGCCUGAGCUCUGAAGCUUUGUUCUGAAGCAUGCUAUCAAUAUGAACAAAUUGGUAUGGAAGGAAGCCACAAAUUAUAUACUAAAAUCUAGUUCAUCAGAGGAAAAUAUAGUUAAAUACAUUUACAUUCCCAGAACUGUUAAUAUUGAAGAAUAAAACACACAGUGGGAAAGA
Molecule: long non-coding RNA, 1063 nt
Filed under: Homo sapiens (human)
Lineage: Eukaryota; Metazoa; Chordata; Mammalia; Primates; Hominidae
Description: HSALNT0328150
Source: RNAcentral